GAGACCCGAAAUUUGGUUCCAUUAAUUUUUUAUAACACAGCACAAACGUAAUAUAUGAUUCUCACUCUUUUAAAAACACUAAGACAUAAUUUAAAGGUUAUUACUCUUUCUGUUUUAUCAAAUCCAAUGAAAAAAGACAAUACAAUGUAUAAAAAGGUUAACUUUUAGGACAAGCAAAAUAAAACUAUAAAGUCUUACAAUGAUACACAAGCUCACACUGCAUUAGAAAAUCCUUCACAAUACACACUUUUAUUUGAAAAUAUAAAAUCCAAAUACAAAAAAUGAACUAGGGUUGUUGAAAUUUGAACUAAUAAUGACAUUGAUUCAUAUUCUAAAAUUGUGUUUAAGGACUGAUUUAAUGAAAACAAAAACAUGAAUCAUCUCAUCUUCAACAAGAGUACAUAAUAUUCCAAGCAAAAAGCUGUUCUAUGGAUCAAUUAUGGACCUUAUUAUGCUUACCAUUAGGUCCACUUGGUGAGAUCCAAUCUUCCAAAGAUCUUCGAGUACUACUUCUAUGUAAAAUUAAUAACUCAUGCAGAAGACGUUGGCUGUCAAUAUGUCUUUCAAGAUUCCUACGAGCAUGCAGCAAACUCAUGAAGAAGGUGGACAUCAUUAACAUGACUAGGAAGAUUUUGAUUAAUGUUGUUGUAUUUGCCAUGCAGUGGCAAUGUUGUUUCUGCUUGUUGUAUAAUUAAGGGAUAUGAGAGUGGUAUAGAGUCAAGCUCAUAUCAAGUGCUAUAUAUAUUGGGAAGCUGGGUUUGUUUUUUCAUUCACUCUAAGAGAGAUUGUAAAUAAUAUUUAAAGUAGUCAAAGGCUCAAAGCUAUAUAUAAAGAUUCCUUUAACUUUUAAAAUU
This 854-nucleotide long non-coding RNA is filed under the name Lathyrus oleraceus (garden pea). RNAcentral's name for it is "Pisum sativum (pea) long non-coding RNA (PSAT_LNC022783)". Lineage: Eukaryota; Viridiplantae; Streptophyta; Magnoliopsida; Fabales; Fabaceae. The record is from RNAcentral.